CGCGUAGGUGGCUUGUCAGGUCUGGUGUGAAAUUUCGGGGCUCAACCCCGAACCUGCAUCGGAAACCGGCUUGCUAGAGUCUGGGAGAGGAGAGUGGAAUUCCUGGUGUAGCGGUGAAAUGCGUAGAUAUCAGGAGGAACACCGGUAGCGAAGGCGGCUCUCUGGAACAGUACUGACGCUGAGGCGCGAAAGCUAGGGGAGCGAACA
RNAcentral lists this ribosomal RNA (207 nucleotides) under uncultured bacterium. Its description in RNAcentral is "partial 16S ribosomal RNA". It matches the Rfam family "Bacterial small subunit ribosomal RNA", at positions 568 to 774 of the family's 1533-position model. The record is from RNAcentral.